This is a long non-coding RNA of Pollicipes pollicipes, 2501 nucleotides long. RefSeq lists it as uncharacterized. The transcript is spliced from 2 exons. Lineage: Eukaryota; Metazoa; Arthropoda; Thecostraca; Pollicipedomorpha; Pollicipedidae. The record is from RefSeq and is a predicted model, not a curated record.
CUCGCCGCCUGGCGGCCGGCCCAGAAACCUUCAACGCCCAGGUGGCGCUGCUGGAGCGGCAGGGCGUGUUCGGCUCGUGGCCAGUUACGGCCGAAGCGGCUGCGCGUCGGCGCAGGGUCGGCACGUUCGUCGAGGAGCUCGACUGCUCUUGGACACACGGCCAAAGAAACGGAAGCGUCUGCUGAAGAAUCACGCGGUCUUCGGAGUUGUCACUAUUCGACGUCAUUGUACCGGGUGGAUGAAACCGCUGAAACCUUUGAUUCUCCCCCAAGAAGCUAAUAUUUCAGGUGCCACGAGGACAGAAGUAGUGAAGAAGGGACUGAUGUGAGUGGGUUACUCUGGACCCGUUCAACAUCAAGACCGAUUGAUCGACGGCGAAUGCGGGUCAUGCUUAGCCACCUGUCUCCUCGCUUACACAAACACCAUCUCGGCCUUAGGUCCCGGAGCGAGCUGGCGUCUAUGGACCGUGUAUUGUUUGCAUAACUCCUCAAUGCUGCGUUUCGCGGCCAGAGCUUGUUUGACAACUUACUUCUGUUGCAUACCGAUAGCGCACGAACGCCCGACCCUGGCACAAGGCAUGCGUAUGAGUGAUGAUGGACCUGCGUUGUGAAGAGCUAGACGCGGCCUGGGACGUGCCGCCCUUGGUUGGGGCCGGGGGUGGCGCCACUAAUUUUUGGUAGGGGUGGGGACGAGGUUGCAAAACCACCACAGCAUUUGCAUUAACAGAAAAGAAUGAGAGAGCAUGUGCUUGAUACCGGCUUUUUGUAGACAUUGACUGUGCUCGGCCAGUAUAGGAGAAUAUCGCCGGGCGGUCUGUUGGAGUCCUAGAAAAUCGCACUAGCUUGGUGACAGUGCAGCCCUUCCGAUGUGAGGUAACUUCAUUAUGGUAAAAGUUAGGGAUAUGGGCCCUGCGUGAAGACCUAUGAGCAAUGUAUUUUGUCCUGCAAGAAGACUGAUAGAAUAUGGGGACUGAUCUGCCUAUUCAACGCUAGAGGGGUGCCCUCCCCUCCCCCCCGUCUCCCAGUGGCACCGCCCCUGGUCGGGGCGGACGCGUAUGCGUAGCAAACUUACGGCUGUACAGACUUCCGCACAGUGCACGUUCUUUCCACCUUCCUGUCACUCUCAUGAUUUUACUUUAUCUCGAGCUUUCGUACUUUUAUCUUCCGAUGUUUCAGAGUUUGACACUGCUCAAUGGGCUUGCGACAAUGUGCAGACAAUCGGGGACAAGGUAAAUGCGUGAUGUGUAUUUAACGAAUGGUUUGACGUGCGCGACAACACUUGUCUUUACUGCAAAAUAUACGCGCUGAAGGAAGAUUUACGUGGAUCGUCUAGUUCGGCUAUUCAAACCAGUCAAAAUCCACGCCAUAUUUGGAUAAAAAACUGACAUUCCUCUCUGAUUCCUCUCGUAGCAAAAUAACAAAAAAGGGACUAUAAGCGAGUCUUACUACAAAAUACCACACAUGCUGGAAGAAUAUGUGUGUCCAGUGCAUCCAGUGUCCAAGUUUUGUGUCCAAAAUCUAUGUGUCCCAAGUAUCCGGGGCCAGGGCCAGUAUUGCCAUUUACACUUUCGACAUUCGUUUUUUUUUGGGGGGGGGGGGGGCAAUGAAACCGCGAUUAACGUCCUGGAUAUUUUCCGCCCCAAUACCAAAUGACACUGCGUGUCAAACCUGGUGAAAAAAAUAAAACCAUCCUGCUUUCCAUGCCAAGGUUAUGACAUGGGGGAGAAGGACCAAGGGAGAAAUUCGGUCAGAAACUCAGUCUAGCGACGCCAAGGAGACCAUAACGUUUGCCGGUUGAUUUUCUCUUAAAUGUUAACAAAGAUAUGUGAAAAGUUGUUUAAAUGGCUGUCUUUUUUUGCAUGGUGCUCAUGUACAAAUCCACAUGAAACCAAAAGGCAUCGCGCACACGAUCCCUACUGGGAUAAAACUUCCGCGAUUUUCUGGAAAAGUGCACGCGACUGGGGUACAAAUAAAAGAUGCUAACACAGCGUCGGAAGACCAGAAUUAUUUCUUCUCGGAAAGACUCCAUCUACCACCAAACCCAUAUAUCACUGCCCGCCCCGAUCAGCGGAUGCAAAGUUGCCAUUGGAAUAGCUGCAGUCUGAGACCGUUUCUACAAACACCAGCCGUUAUUUGUUUUCUUCGAGUAACUAGCCGUGUGUACAUUGGUAGACCAUGUCGGGCCUCAAUUAAAAAUGCUUCCCCACAUCGAAAUACUUCUUAUCUGAGAAAAUAGUCUUUGGCCGCGAGUCAACAUGUUUGAUCAAUAUUCGCCUAAACUACAGCUGUUCGGAGAAGAAUACGGCUGAAAUUUGUACAAAUUGUUUUAGGUUGUAGUUCUUGCUGCAGAAUCUUCACUCGCGCUCAGACAACCGCUUGAUGGUAAAUGGCAAGUGUGGUGAAAUGAUGUAUUUUCGAUAAGUUUCAAUGUCCAUAAGCGUGAUGGCUGUGCGCAGUGUUCACCCCUUGUUAUGGCUUGACCCAAUACAAUCUUUAAUGGUC